UUUUCGACACCUAUGAGUGGACUGCCUUCAAAACUUGUUUUGGGAAAUAUAAUGUAAUUGCCACCCAUUUGAAUGAAUUAUCAAGUUUUUCAUGAAAAAAAGUGCCUUGGGAACAAGCUUUUGAAAAAUGGUUUUAUGUUGUAAUAUGUGAUUGCUAUGGAUUCAUGCACUAUUGUAUUAUGAUGAUAUAUAUAUAUAUGUGUGUUAUGCAUGAUGAAUGAUAUUGUGCAAAAUAACUGUAACUGUGUGUGUACAUGAUGUGGGGAAUGCACAUGCCGGUGAUGAUGGUGGCGUGAGAUAUAGAUGAUGGUAGUGCCCGUGUGCAUGAUGUGGGGGGAUGUACACAUGGCACUGAUUGUGCAUGAUGUGGGGGAUGCACAUGAUGGUGUCGGCUAUGUGCACGAUGUGGGGGGGGAUGUGCAUGAGCCGGGAGUGAUUAUGAUGAUAUUGAUGUUUGUCUAUGUAAUUAUGCAUAUCUAGAUUUAUGAAAUGAAAGCUCAUGAAUGUGAUAUAUGGUUGACAUAUAUGUGAAAUUUGACACAUUGUACUUUGAGAAUUUUCAUGAGUUUUAUGUUGAUUUUGUUAGUUUAGCAGGAUGGCUUUUUNNNNNNNNNNNNNNNNNNNNNNNNNNNNNNNNNNNNNNNNNNNNNNNNNNNNNNNNNNNNNNNNNNNNNNNNNNNNNNNNNNNNNNNNNNNNNNNNNNNNNNNNNNNNNNNNNNNNNNNNNNNNNNNNNNNNNNNNNNNNNNNNNNNNNNNNNNNNNNNNNNNNNNNNNNNNNNNNNNNNNNNNNNNNNNNNNNNNNNNNNNNNNNNNNNNNNNNNNNNNNNNNNNNNNNNNNNNNNNNNNNNNNNNNNNNNNNNNNNNNNNNNNNNNNNNNNNNNNNNNNNNNNNNNNNNNNNNNNNNNNNNNNNNNNNNNNNNNNNNNNNNNNNNNNNNNNNNNNNNNNNNNNNNNNNNNNNNNNNNNNNNNNNNNNNNNNNNNNNNNNNNNNNNNNNNNNNNNNNNNNNNNNNNNNNNNNNNNNNNNNNNNNNNNNNNNNNNNNNNNNNNNNNNNNNNNNNNNNNNAGUGUUAUUUUGUUUUGUAUAGACGAACUUAAUGUAAAUUAUUAGAAUACAUGUUGUAGACAUUGUAUGUAAAUUUUUAAGGAGUAAUGCCAGUACGAGUUGGCAAUGUAUAUCACUAUUUUGAUUCAAAGUUAUGAAAUAUGACUUAGUGAUAUUAGAUGGAAUUAUAAGUAAGAUAAAUAAUAGGCUUGCUUGGGUUUAGUGGAUUACGUCCAUUGGACCCUUGCGCAGGUCAUGGCCCGGAAUUUGGGUCGUGACAAUGUUAGUAUCAAAGCCCUAGGUUUGUCUAGGUCUUAAAGCUUCCUUUUGUUGGUCCAGCGAAGAGUCAGGUCUUUAUGUGGGAACUUCAGUUGUAAAGUGUGAACCGCGGCACAUUUUACAACCAAAUGACCGCAUAGAUUCCCUAUCUUAGAAACACCUUUUGCCUUAAGUACGAUUAUAAUAUGUGUUUAAUAUCAGGUGUUUGCUUUAGUCUAGGUAAGAAUGUCGCCUAAGACACGAGACGCCUCAAGACGAAUGAGGGAGCAAGAUGCUCCUAUUGAGAUGGCAGAUAGGCCACGGGCAUCCACCCGGAGAGGCUGAAGUGGACGUGGCAGGGCCAUUAGGCCAGUGAGGUCGGAUACGCCUGUGAGUAGGCAAGAGGAGGGACAAUCCUCAGGUGAUGUAGAUAGACACCCAGCUGGGGGUACUACUAUUGAGGAUUUGGCGGCAGGCCUACAGGGAGUUAAUCGGGUUGUAGAGAUGAUGGUGACCCGUAUAGAGGAUAUACAGAGGGUAGUAGAGGGGAGACCUACAGUACAAGAAUCUCCUAGCUCCGAAGGACAGGCCGAUCGCCAAUAUUGUGAGGUUGAGAGGGGUCACUUAGAGAUUUCUCUUAUCAAUUUCCUAAAGCUUAAGCCUCCAUCAUUUUCAGGGUUUGAUGCAUCAGAGAAACCCCAGGUUUUCUUGGAUAAGAUGGAGAAGAUAUGUAAAGCUUUGGGAUGCUCCAGUGUUCGGUCAGUUGAGUUAGCCACUUUUUGAUUAGAGGAUGUGGCGUAGAAGUGGUAUAGCUCUUUGUGUAAGGUAGACCGACGGAUGCAGCGCCAUUGGCUUGGAGUGAGUUUAGUGCAGCCUUCUUGGAUCGGUUCCUACCACUCAGUGUACGUAAUGCUAGAGCUAGGGAGUUUGAGACUUUCGUACAGAUUUCGAGUAUGACGGUGUUGGAGUAUGACAUCAAGUUCACACAGUUGUCUUGGUAUGCUCCCUACCUCGUUUCUACUAAGGAGAUGAAGAUUUAGAGGUUUGUGGAUAGGUUAGUAGAGCCACUGUUUAGGGCUGUGGCAUCUCGAGAUUUCACUACCAAUUCCGCAGUAGUAGAUUGUGCUCAGCGCAUUGAGAUGAGGACCAGUGAGAGUAGGGCUGCGAGGGAUAAAGCAAAGAGGGCCAAGACAGAGGGUUAUCAGGGCCAUAGAGAUUUCAGCAGUGGUGGUUCAUCUUCUAACCAUUAGGGUCCACAGAGGGAUUCACGAUUAUCCUAGCAGAGGAGUGACCUGCCUAGUGCUAGUGUUGGGACGAGACAAAGAACUUUCAAUGCUAGCAGGCAACAAGAUUCGAGACAGAGUAGUCAAGUUAUCCACCCUUGUAAUAUCUGUGGGAGGAGACAUAGUGGAUGAUGCUUACGUACUGCGGCAGUUUGUUAUUAGUGUGGCCAACCUGGGCACAUUAGGAGGAAUUGUCCGAUGGCUCAUCAAUCACAAGAUUCGGCACGUGGUUCCACCCAGCCAACUUCAUCUGCUCCUUCAGUUGCUGCCUCAUCUGGCCGGAAGGCUAGUGGAUCGAGAGGUAGAGGUGCUGGUACUUCCUCUCAAGGUAGGCCAUCUGGGUCCAGACAUCAAAGUUCUGUUGGUAGAGGCCAGGCGAAGGUGUUUGCUUUAACACAGCAAGAGGCCCAGCAUCCAAUGCCGUGGUCUUAGGUAUUCUUUCAAUUUGUGAUAUGAAUGCUCGAGUCUUAUUUGAUCCUGGUGCUACCCAUUCUUUUAUCUCUCCAUGUUUUGCAUAUAGGUUGGGUAGAGAUCCUGUUAGGAGAGAGGAACAAUUAGUGGUGUCUACUCCUUUAAAGGAGAUAUUUGUGGUCAAAUGGGAAUAUGAAUCUUGUGUAGUACGAGUCAAGGACAAGGACAAGGACACUUUGGUGAAUUUGGUGGUGUUAGACACCUUAGACUUUGAUGUGAUCUUGGGGAUGAAUUGGUUAUCACCCUGUCAUGCUAGUGUGAACUGUUAUCAUAAAUUGGUUAGAUUUGAUUUCCUCGGUGAACCUUCAUUUAGUAUUCAGGGGGAUAGGAGUAAUGCUCCAACCAAUUUGAUAUCGAUCAUUUUUGCCAGAAGAUUAUUACGACAAGGUUGUAUAGGUUACUUGGCCAUGGUAAGAGAUACUAAGGCGAAGGUUGGAAAUGUAAGUCAAGUGUCGGUGGUGAAAGAGUUCGUGGAUGUAUUUCCCAAGGAGCUACCAGGUUUACCUCCCAAACGAGAGAUUGAAUUUUGCAUAGAUUUAAUUCCCGACACUAGACUUAUAUCCAUACCCCCAUAUAGAAUGGCACCGGCAGAGCUUAAAGAGCUUAAGGAUCAAUUAGAGGAUUUGUUGGAUAAAGGCUUCAUCCGUCCUACUGUAUUCCCAUGGGGAGCACUGGUGUUAUUUGUAAAGAAGAAAGAUGGGUCACUUAGGCUGUGCAUUGAUUAUCGGCAGCUUAAUAAAGUGACGGUGAAAAAUAAGUAUCCUCUCCUAAGGAUAGAUGAUUUAUUUGAUCAACUAUAAGGAGCACAAUGUUUCUCUAAGAUAGAUCUGCGAUCUGGGUACCAUCAGUUGAGAAUCCGAAAUGAAAAUAUACCCAACAUUGCAUUUCGAACAAGAUAUGGGCACUAUGAGUUCUUGGUGAUGUCAUUUGGGCUCAUGAGUCCUCCUGCAGCCUUUAUGGAUUUGAUGAACCGAGUGUUCAAGCUUUAUUUGGAUAAGUUCGUGGUGGUGUUUAUUGAUAACAUCUUGAUAAAUUCGAAGAGCCAAGAGUAGCAUGAGCAGUAUCUUAAGAUAGUGCUCCAAAUUUUGAGAGAACAUCAAUUGUAUGCGAAGUUCUCCAAGUGUGAGUUUUGGCUCGAAAGUGUUGCAUUCUUGGGGCAUGUGGUAUUUAAGGAUGGGAUACAAGUUGAUUCAAAGAAAAUUGAAGCAGUGAAAAAAUGGCCAAGGUCAACAUCAGUUACGGAGAUUAGAAGCUUUGUGGGUUUGGCUGGCUAUUAUCGUCGCUUUGUAAAGGACUUCUCCAAAAUAGUCGCCCCUCUGACUAAGGUGACACGUAAGGAUACAAAAUUUGAGUGGUUUGAUGCUUAUGAGAAUAGCUUUGAGAAGCUUAAGGCAUGUCUUACCACAGCUCUAGUGUUAAGCCUACUACAAGGCACGGGGGGUUAUACGGUGUUUUGUGAUGCAUCGGGGGUUGGUUUAGGAUGUGUACUAAUGCAACAUGGGAAGGUGAUUGCAUAUGCAUCUAGGCAACUUAAAAGGCAUUAGCAGAAUUACCCCAUACACGAUUUGGAAAUGGCAGCGAUCGUGUUUGCCUUAAAGAUUUGGAGGCAUUACUUGUAUGGUGAGACUUGCGAGAUAUACAUGGACCACAAAAGUCUGAAGUAUAUGUUUCAGCAGAGGGAUCUUAACUUGCGGCAACGUAAAUGGAUGGAGUUGCUAAAGGAUUAUGAUUGUACUAUUUUUUACCAUCUCGAUAAGGCCAAUGUUGUGGCGGAUGCCUUGAGUCGAAAAUCAAUGGGAAGCUUGGCACAUAUUUUUACUGAUAGGAGAUCAUUGGUUAGAGAGAUCCAUAGCUUGGGAGACAUAGGUGUGCAUUUGGAAGUUGCGGAGACAGAUGCAUUGCUAGCACAUUUUAGAGUAAGGCCUAUCUUAAUGGACCGAAUCAAAGAAGCACAAAGUAAAGAUGAGUUUGUGGCUAAGGCCUUAGAGGAUCCUCAGGGAAGGAAAGGAAAAAUGUUUACCAAAGGCACAGAUGGAGUGUUAAGGUAUGAAACCAGACUUUAUGUGCCUGAUGGUGACGGGUUGAGGAGAGAAAUAUUGGAAGAAGCUCACAUGGCAGCUUAUGUGGUACAUCCAGGGGCUACAAAGAUGUAUCAAGAUUUGAAAGAGGUGUAUUGGUGGGAAGGAUUUAAGAGAGAUGUAGCUGAGUUUGUCUCCAAGUGCCUGGUUUGUCAGCAGGUUAAGGCUGAGCAUCAAAAGCCUGCAGGGCUACUACAGCCAUUACCAGUACCCGAGUGGAAGUGGGAACAUAUUGCUAUGGACUUUGUAAUGGGUUUGCCUCAAACCAGUGGGGGAUAUAAUUCAAUUUGGAUAGUAGUAGACCGGUUAACAAAGUCAACUCAUUUUAUUAGUAGACCAGUUUAUGUGGAUGAGAUAGUACGACUGCAUGGUAUUCCCAUUUCAAUAGUAUCUGACAGAGGAGCUCAGUUUAUUAGUAGGUUUUGGAGAAAGUUGCAGGAAGCAUUGGGCACUAAGUUGGAUUUCAGCACAGCUUUCCACCCUCAGACUGAUGGAUAGUCUGAACGGACCAUAUAGACAUUGGAGGAUAUGUUAAGAGCUUGUGUGAUAGACCUUGGUGUCAGGUGGGAUCAAUAUCUACCCUAAGUGGAGUUUGCCUACAAUAAUAGUUUCCAAACUAGCAUCCAAAUGGCACCAUUUGAGGCAUUAUAUGGACAGAGAUGUAGGUCACCCAUUGGAUGGCAAGAGGUGGGAGAAAGGAAACUUUUGGGGCUUGAAUUGGUGCAGGAUGAAACCGAGAAAAUACGCAUGAUCCGUCAAAGGAUGUUAACAGCACAAAGUAGACAUAAAUCAUAUGCUGAUAACCGAUGGAGAGACUUGGAGUUCCAAGUAGGAGAUCAUGUAUUUUUAAAAGUUUCGCCAACUAAAGGGGUAAUGAGGUUUGGCAAGAAAAGGAAGUUAAGUCCUUGGUAUAUAGGGCCAUUCGAGAUCUUAGAAAGGGUUGGAGCGGUGGCUUAUCGUUUGGCAUUACCACCAGACCUUUUGAAUAUUCAUCCCGUGUUACAUGUGUCCAUGCUUAAAAAGUACAAUCCGGAUCCACCACAUGUAAUACGGUAUGAAACCAUUCAAUUGCAAGAUGUCUAACCUAUGAGGAACAACCAGUAGCUAUCCUUGAUAGGCAAGUUAAAAAGCUCCGUUCAAAGGAUGUAGCCUCAGUGAAAGUGUUGUGGCGGAAUCACACUAGAGAGGAGGUAACGUGGGAAGCUGAGGAUGAGAUGCGGACAAAGCAUCCACACCUUUUCGAUAUGUAAAGGUAAGCUACUCUACAUUGAAUUUAAUUUCGGAGACCGAAUUUUUAUUAGUGGGGGAGAAUGUGAGACCUUGUCAAGCUCGAUUAAAAGACGGUAUUGUAUCGAGUGGUACAACUAAGUUAAAUCGAGCCUUGAACUAGUUCAAAUAGAAAUUCUAAGAGGAAUUUGAAAAUUCUAAAACCCACAGAAUGGCUUAGAAUAGUGAUUUGGAGUUCAAGGUCUAGUUUGGAGUCCAUCAGGAAAAUUGAUCAAUUAGAGACAAAACGGUCAUUUUACCAUUUGAUGAUAAAAUGGAGAUUUUUAGCCAAGAUUUGAUCACAUUUGAUGAAUCAUAAUUAUAUGAAAUAUAAUUAUGAUUAUUGGAGUAUAAAAUGAUGUUUAGCAGUGAAAAAUUGUGAUUCUCAAUAUUUUUGGAGCACAAGGGUAAAAUGGUAAUUUUACCACUAGAGGACUAAACGAGAAUUUUUAUAAAAUGAUUUUUGCCCCAUUUGGUUAAUAUUGAUCAAUAUUACUGUUAUUUGAGGUUGAAAAGUAGAAAUAAUGUGAUUCCGGUACAUUUCGGAGUAUAGGGGUAAAAUCGUAAUUUUUUCGUCUCGAGGGCAAAUUGGUAAAUUUUUCACUCCAGCACUUUUCAAGACCAAGGGAUUUUAAUUGUGGUAGGAUUGGAUAAAUACCAGAAUAUUUGUGGUGGAAAAUUAAGAAGAAAAAGUCAAAAAGUUAAAAAAUUAGGCCAAUAAGCAUGUGACACGUAGCAUUCUUGAUUAUUUUAUUAUUUUUUAUAGAAAUCAGCCCAUUAAAUCCCCAAUUCUCUCACCAUAUUCGGCCUAGGCAACCAGCAACAAGAACAAAGGAAGAACAAAGGGAAAAACAAGAAAACCUAGGUGGAAAUUCAAAGAAAAAGUGAAGAAAUCAAGGAAACAAGCUAGGUAAGUUAAAAUUUCUUUAAUUCUCCUUGAUACCUAGCUUACCCAUGCUUUUGUUCUUGAUUUCCAUGGUUGAAUAUUGAGUUAUCAUGAUGAAUUCAAUUCUGAAAAAUGGGUAUGGAAGAGGAAUUGUUGUUGGAAUAAUUUGAUUUUAGACUAUGUUAGUGUUUAGGGAUAGUUAAGCAUGGUUAUGAACAAAAACACAAAAGAAAUAUUCAAUUUCUCUAGGGUUCCUUGUUGGUCGAACCAUGAGGGCUGAAUNAAAACACAAAAGAAUUAUUCAAUUUCUCUAGGGUUCCUUGUUGGUUGAACCAUGAGGGCUGAAUAUCAAUGGGGGAUUGUUUUUAUUUCAAGGAAAAUGGCUUGCAAAAUGAUGAAAUAAGGUGAAAUGGUUAUGUAGAAAAAAAUUUUGGUGCUAGUGCACCAAAUGAUCAAAUUUUUCUAUAAGGAACUGUGCGGGUUCUAAUGCUGAAUUUGGCUUUAUUUAAGUGGUAUGUGGUAAAUUAAGAUAUUAGAGGAGAAAUGGAUUAAUUUGGAGGUGAUUUGGACACAAUCGCCAAUUAAUCGGGUGAUCGGUCGAAUUUAAUCAAUACCGCGAUUAAGUGGUAAUCGAACAUAUUUUUGCAUUUACAUAUCAAGCAUUAGUAAUUUAAAUUAGUUUAUAUCAAUUUAGGGAUAAUAUAGUAAAUUCCUCGACUUUGUUAUUUGUCAAGGUAGUGAGACGUUUGGAAAAGGCAAAGGAAUCGCGCUUAAGGACUAUUAGUCCGAGUGCACCCAAAAUCCAAAUUUUCGACACCUGUGAGUGGACUGCAUUCAAAACUUAUUUUGGGAAAUAUAAUGUAAUUGCCACCCAUUUGAAUGAAUUAUCAAGUUUUUCAUGAAAAUAAGUGCCUUGGGAACAAGCUUUCGAAAAAUGGUUUUAUGUUUGUAAUAUGUGAUUGCUAUGGAUUCAUGCACUAUUGUAUUAUGGUGAUAUAUAUAUAUAUAUAUAUAUGUGUGUUGUGCAUGAUGAAUGAUAUUGUGUAUAAUGACUGUAACUGUGUGUGUACAUGAUGUGGGGAAUGCACAUGCCGGUGAUGAUGGUGGCGUGAGAGAUAGAUGAUGAUAGUGCCUGUGUGCACGAUAUAGGGGGAUGUACACGAUGGCACUGAUUGUGCAUGAUGUGGGGGAUGCACAUGAUGGUGCCGGCUAUGUGCACGGUGUGGGGGGAUGUACAUGAGCCAGGAGUGAUUAUGAUGAUAUUGAUGUUUGUCUAUUAUGAUGAUAUUGAUGUUUGUCUAUGUAAUUAUGCAUAUCUAGAUUUAUAAAAUGAAAGCUCAUGAAUGUGAUUUAUGGUUGACAUAUAUGUGAAAUUUGACACAUUGUACUUUGAGAAUUUUUAUGAGUUUUAUGUUGAUUUUGUUAGUUUAGUAGGAUGGCUUUUUGUUGAAUGAGGGAAAAUGUUUCUCUUAUUGCUUUGUUUUCGCUGCAACGAGAAACUCUCGGGUUUGAGGACCUUUCACUAGAACUGGUUCUCAUUGCAGCGAAAAACUUUUUGUUUCUGAGUAACAAUUUCGUUGCAGCGAAAUUCAUUUUCACUGCAGCGAAAAACUUUCUGUUUUGUCUCCUAUCUUGUCCAAUUGCUGCCCUAUUUUUCACUUUUUGGCUACCAUAUCUAAGCAUGGACUUCCAACAUUUAGGACAAAAUGAAUUAAGUUUAAAAUGAGGGGUUUUUAAUAUGAAUGGAACUAAAUUGCAUUGUUUUGAAACAAGUGCAUCAUGAUUUUAAAUUCUCCCUUGUUGUUGUUGCUUGUUCCUUUCCUUGUUCACUCACUAGGCUUAUACUCACCUUUUUCAAAUUCAUGUUUUCAGAUCACGAGGUAGUCGGUAACUAGGACGAGGUGUCCUUGUAGACUUGUGUCCAUCUUUUGGUAGGUGUCUCGGCAUUCGGUAGCUAUAUAUUCAUCCGAGUCACUCUGUUGGAAGUCGAGUGUUAUUUUGUUUUGUAUAGACGAACUUAAUGUAAAUUAUUAGAAUACAUGUUGUAGACAUUGUAUGUAAAUUUUUAAGGAGUAAUGCCAGUACGAGUUGG
This 9377-nucleotide long non-coding RNA is filed under the name Theobroma cacao (cacao). RNAcentral's name for it is "long non-coding RNA (TCAC_LNC000320)". The record is from RNAcentral. Lineage: Eukaryota; Viridiplantae; Streptophyta; Magnoliopsida; Malvales; Malvaceae.